AGCGCAGGCGGGAAGACAAGUUGGAAGUGAAAUCCAUGGGCUCAACCCAUGAACUGCUUUCAAAACUGUUUUUCUUGAGUAGUGCAGAGGUAGGCGGAAUUCCCGGUGUAGCGGUGGAAUGCGUAGAUAUCGGGAGGAACACCAGUGGCGAAGGCGGCCUACUGGGCACCAACUGACGCUGAGACUCGAGAUGUGGGUAUAAACA
This 205-nucleotide ribosomal RNA is filed under the name uncultured bacterium. RNAcentral's name for it is "partial 16S ribosomal RNA". It matches the Rfam family "Bacterial small subunit ribosomal RNA", at positions 568 to 774 of the family's 1533-position model. The record is from RNAcentral.